Molecule: ribosomal RNA, 238 nt
Filed under: uncultured bacterium
Lineage: Bacteria
Description: partial 16S ribosomal RNA
Rfam family: Bacterial small subunit ribosomal RNA
Source: RNAcentral
CGUUAUUCGGAAUUAUUGGGCGUAAAGGGCGCGUAGGCGGCUAGAUGUGUCAAAGGUGAAAUCCCUCGGCUCAACUGAGGAACUGCCUUUGAAACUGUCUGGCUUGAGGCCGGGAGAGGGUAGCGGAAUUCCCAGUGUAGCGGUGAAAUGCGUAGAUAUUGGGAGGAACACCAGUGGCGAAGGCGGCUACCUGGACCGGUUCUGACGCUGAGGCGCGAAAGCGUGGGUAGCAAACAGG